Long non-coding RNA from Gallus gallus (chicken), 9954 nucleotides. RefSeq lists it as uncharacterized. The transcript is spliced from 7 exons. The record is from RefSeq and is a predicted model, not a curated record. Lineage: Eukaryota; Metazoa; Chordata; Aves; Galliformes; Phasianidae.
AUCUAUUCUGCAAGCACCUGGCUGUGUGGAGCAAAUACAGCAGUGCUGAGUGCUGGAGGUACUGCGAGCUGAUCUGCUGCGAUCCCUGGAAUAUGGAUCUGUGCCUCCUGAGGGUGGAUUGAUGAGCUCCUGAGCCAGCCAAAGACAUCCCAGGUCUGAGGCGAGCAAGGCAAGAGCUCCAUCCCUGUUGUGUCAGGCCAGAUGGAAGCAGUACUGGGCCAACACUUGCCAUGAAGUAAGAAUUUGUUUCUUUCUUGAUGCCAAGGAACAAUGAUACUAAAUGGAAGGAGGGGAAGAAAAGAGCACACACCUACAAACUGAAAGAGGAGCGGUUAGCUACCUUCUUGCAUGUGCUGGCUCUCUUUGAACACCUCCAUCACCACCUAAGGGAGAAUGUGGAGAGGUGCUUUGUCCACUGCAAUCUGUUCCUGGAUGGGACGACACUUGAAUGACUGGAGCAUGCCGGAGCCAGGUGAAUGAUGCCCAGGGCUUCCCAGGCUUGGAGCUGUUGCCAGCUGUUGGGUUGCUGCUCUUGGAUCCCUGUACCUGCACCUGCCUGGUUGCUGCUGGGAGGAGAUGUGCCUUGCUCAGAGAGCAGGUGAUGGCAGCUCAAGGCAAAGUACAACAGCGUAGAACCAACAAAAAAUGAGCAGGUUGAGACCUAUGUUGUGCAGGCAGGAUGCAGGAGGAGGCCAUCUGUGGGAGCAGUGGGACACGUGUCAUCCCAGCAAGGCAGCAAGACAGAAUCUUCUUCCUGCAAAACCCAGCAAACACCAGCGUAGAGAAAGGAAACCUCAGUCUUGAAGCAGAAGAUAAGGAGCAGAAUGACCUUGCAUCUUCCAUCCAUACACCUGAGGUUAACAGUCGAGGAACCUGAGGCCAGGUGGGAUGAGAGCGCACAGGGUUGGUGCCCGUGGCACUGCUGGACUCGGAGCUGCAGAACCACCAUGUCCUCUCUCCUUAUCAUCCUCCACAUGCUCCUUUUUGGGUAUUUUGCAGCACUUUGAGGCUGGGAGAAGUGGUGCAGCAGCAAUGACAACCAGGACAUUGUCCCCUUGGGACAUGCAUUGAGCGAGACCCGGCUGCCUGCCUUAGCCCUUGAAAGGAAGGGGUGAAGGAAAAUGGGAAAAGGAGAAGGUGGGAAGGAGAACGAGAGAGAAAAAUGAAUUGCUUAAAACUUCUAUUACUCUUCAUUACCUUCUGCUUUAUAAAUUCGAAGUCAAACCUGGGGGCUCCAGACCCCGAAAGAAUGGAAGGGAAACGUUCCCUGCCUGCCCCGCCAACCAGCUCGUUAAACUCCAGCCCUCCUGCUGCUCUCCAGUGAUUUAUGGAGAAUCAAAGCCAAAGCCCCACUUGUCUGUAGAUGGGAUGCUUGGAUUCGAGGUGUUGUUUCAAAGAAAAGUGAUGGAUCAGAACCUGGAGACCAGGUCCAGCCCAGUCCCCAGCAGCAGCCCUGACCUCUUCUCCACCACCUCCAUCCUCUGCAGGUCCCUCAACCUACUCAGCACCUUAUUUUGAAGGGAAGGAGGCUCUUAUCUGACCCGCGCUUCACAUUUCAAGGCCGCCACGAGCCUUGGGCUCAUAUUUUUCACACGUCCUAAAACAUCAUCCCUCCCCCGGCACAAACGUGCAUACAUUCCUUAUGGUCUGCUUCCCCUCAGGGCCCCACAGGCCUGAAGAGAUGAUAAAAUUUCUGUAAAGUAGGUGUUUGAGGCAUUUCCUAGCAGUUCGUGACCCCGCUGAAACCCCUGCGAGGAACGCAGUAGGAUGCUUCACAUAACUCUGAAAAAGGAUGUUUUGGAGCUAAUUGCUUCCAAACCAUCCAAGUGAUGAGAAAUCCAGUGCUACCAGCAGCUCAUUUCCUUUGCUGUUUAAAUACAACACCCUGCUCUGGGCUGGGCUGUCCUGGCCCAGGAUCUGGGCACUGCUGCUCACACUGCUCCUGCUGUGCCGUGAAGCUCUCGGUAGGACCAUGUCUCCUCCCCGCAGGUGUAAGGAUGCCAUCAGCCAGCUAUUACCAACUCUUGGCCAAAUUAAGGAGAUCAUGCUCCUUGACUUGACCUCUGAAAUGUGCGAUUUCCCAUUCAUUAGUCUUUUUCUGACUCUUCCUUGAACCUUCCCCCCCACCCUCCAAUAUUUCCAUGUCCAUUUUGAAGCACAGAGGCAUCACAGCCUUCCAGUGCAAAACUGUUCGCAGGCAUUGCUUGAUGACCUCCAUCUCCACAGAGCUCUCCUGAGUCACCAGUUACCCAUUCUCCAGCCUUCUAAGGGCUAGAUGGGAAUCCCUCACCCAACUUUCAGCUGGCCUGUGUUAAAUGUGAUGAAUGGGCUGACAUUUGACCAUAUAAAAAUACCAUGUUUACUUGACCCAGGGCUGCCAAGCAAGCCUGAGGCUCCACAUCAUUAGCUGGGGCUCUGCAAGAGUCACUUCUCUUCCCCUUUCUUUGUGUCCCUUUGAAAAUUUUUCAAUGAGGAUUUAAUGGAUUCUUCUCCUUUUCUUCCCCGAACCAUUGCUGGAGACAUUACAUGGGACAGGGUCAGGACCAGCCAUUUUGGGUCUCCUCAAGAAACAAGGCUGUUUGAUAUCAGUUCUUUCAGGACUCCGUUUAGAAAGCUAAUUAAAAACGCCAGCCAUUUAAUGUGCACAAUGUUGAUUUUGGAUGGCUCCUCUUCAUCCAUUACAACAGCCCGUGAUGCAAAGCCAAGCACUUUUUAGAAGUUUGACCAGUUUAGGAAUAAGCGUAAGGCCAGUGACAGCUGGCCUCCAGGAGACAGAUGGGCUCUGAGAGCAGGAGGAAUUACUGCGGCCAGGAGUCCAACCUCCUGAGUGACACAGGCUAUAAAAUGGCAUCCAUUAGGCUCCUUUGAAAAUCCCAAUGAUAAAUCUUCCUGGUCCAAUCCUUUCCCUCCACAGCUCCCCUGGAAGAAGUAAGGUUGCUCAGGGUGCUCAAUAGGAUGCUGGUAGGGCCAGCCUGGCUCUGGCCGUAUUCAGAUCUCUCCUACUGGUGCAGCAAACUCCCAAAAGCAUUCAUAGUUUCCAUGCUGCUAAUUUUAGGGCUUUGCUUUCCAGCACCCACAGACUUGGAGACACAGCCUGCUGCCUCGCUGCAGCUUACAUGUUUUCUAAUGGCCCCAACCCAGAGAUUUACACUAAGCCAACUCAUUUUGAAACCCUUCCAUAAAAAUGCCUUCUGCAAACAGAUUUGUUUCAUUAUCGUUGAGCUCGAAAGUGCCUGAAGUAACAAACAACUUCAAACUCCUUCAAAUUUAUCCUGGCACCGGGCUUGCACUUCAUUUAGAUGCUAUGUACCUGGGUGCGUGCCCUGUGGGGGACAGGCAGGAGAGGGACGGAUGGAGCUCUGUGCAAUGUAUCAGUGAUUAUGGUGCAAUAAAUAUUGGAUGGAGGAUCUAUGAUAACAUCUAUUACAGCUUUAUGAAAUAUUGAUAGCGUCUGAAUACAUAUUGCCUCCUGAACAGCUCGUUCCGGAGAUGUUUAAUGAAAGACAUCUGUCGUUUUAUCCUUGAAUCUACAUGGAGGCAAAAUUUAGUCUCCAUCCCCACUGUAAUCUCCGUGAGGCUUUCCAGAUCUGCGAGGAAGUGGCAUGAAAUGCUCAGGCUCACCUAUAUGGAUGGGUCUGUUUUAUGCACACACAGUCUUCCAUUUUGGGAAGAAGUUAAUGUUGUGCCUUUCUAGAAACAACCUCUUUGCAGACAGCUGGCUUUAGCAGGACCAACUUAAGGCUGCCAUGGCCAAACAGUGGGAGCAAAUGGGGCUCCCAGGAAAACCAGCUCAUCCGUCAGGCAUUCAUCCCUGGCUGUGCACGUAACCCUGCACACAGCACACACCCUGCGUGAACCCAACGCGCUGAUCCCUGACACAUGUUCACCCCAGAUGCCCAAUGUAAUCCCAAAUUAAAGACAUAUGGUGUUACUUCUCACCUCACAAGGUCUCCCCAGGCGUGCACAUGCAUGCAUACACACCAGCCCUCCACACCACUGAUCAUUUCAGUCUUUAUUCACUUUCCUCCUAACACCGCAAAGCCCACCCUGCUCAGGUCCUCCCAGCAUAGGAAACUGAAGCACGUGAUCUCCAGACAGAAGGAGCUAUCGCCUCCUUCACAUCCAAACCCAGAUUUACCAUCAUCCACCACCAUCUGGAGCAGCAGCUCUCGGCUCACAUGCUGUGCUUUGUCCCCAUCUGGCCUCACCAAGGGCAGUGUUCACCUCCAGGACCCAUUUGCUUGCUCUGUGGAUGGAAACACGUUUCUGCCUUUCUUUCCCACAGCCUCAGGUGAUGGGAAAGCCCUCCCAGGCUUGAGCCAACAUCUUAGAAUCGUGAAAUCAUUUGGGUUUGGAAAAGACCUUCAAGAUCACCGAGUCCAACCACCAACUUGCCCAAGGCCAUGGCCAACCCCUUGCGGUAAAGUGGCACAACAAAAUCUUUCUGGUUACCAGGCAUCACGUGGCUUCGUUCUCACACUGAUAAUUCUAAUUAUUCACAGCUCUGCACUGCUAAAGAAGACAGAGAAGGUAGGGGCAUCAACACACAGCCUCUCCUCUCCCCUGGGCAGAGCCUGCAAAGCUGAUCUGAGCCCACGUAAACCCCAGGCUGUAUCUGCAGGCCGCCUCCACAGACCUGCCUCUCACCCUGGCCCUGCUCCCACGCACUCACCUCGCAUAAAGCCACGCACCUGUGGUCUGAACUAGAAAGGAUGAACUUUUCCAGCCUGAGGGCUGACAAGCUGAGCCUCCUCAAUUGCCUCAGCAAGAAUGAGAAUCUCAGCAUCACCUUAUUUCCCAGUUUCACUGUGCUCAUAAAAUGCUUCUGCUGAACCAUGGGGCAUUCAAGACAACAUAAGAAAGAGAAAGCAGAAAUGACUGUGAGACCUCAGACGCAUGUUUUCUGCAGAUCAAUAGCCGCUUACUAGCAACACUUCCCCGGGAACAUCUUCCCCUCCUAUGAACUAUGUCUGAUCCACCCAGCCCAGCCACGGAGGAGUAAUCCAACACCACCACCCCCAUUUGUUACCACUUAGGAGAGUCUACUGUACUCGCAACAACAACACGUGGCCCUCCUCUGCUCUGAAUUAAUGAUGGGUGCGAUUGUGUUUCCUCUCUCAGCAGGAGGAAAACCAGCACCCGAGCCAGCCCUGUGCUCCAUGCAUCUCCUUCACCAGGCCUGGGGAGAAGCACGGAGCUCACUCCAUGCUGGAACGAAUUGCAGCCUGGAGCAGGUCUUAAAGAAAGGCAUGCAGAAAUUCAGGUUUGACACUGAAUUCAAAGGGAUGGGUGCUGCAGAGAAGCAGAGUGCAACCAGGAUGGAGUCAGUGGCCCACCACGCACAGAAGACUGAAGUAUUGAUCCUAAUUAUUACUGAACCCAAAUUAAGACAAAAUCCCUGUCCAUUUGCUGAAUGCAGUUCAUACUAUUCCAAAAGGCCACACUAAGCCCCAGCUCACAGUGGAUUUUCACAGCUCAAGCACAGUGCUGGGCACUCCCAUGGCUCAGGGUAGGAGGGCUCAGUCUGCCCAGGCAUCUCCUCAGCCCCACACCGAUGUGUUGGUACCUAGAUCUAGAGAGUUAGAUAACACAACACAGCAUCUUCAGAUUCACGGUAAUGUGUUGUUUAAGGAGGCCAAAACAUCAAGGGGGACCAGGCAGGACCAGGACCCUCAAAUCCCCAACUUCACUCCCCCCUCCCCCUCCACCAUCCUCUGAAACCAGGACCGCAAAUUGAGCUUAGCCUCUUCCUCCCCCUCCACUCACACCCUCACUCCUUGAAUUAAGAGGAAAGAAAAUGAACGCUGCAUGCUGCAUCCUGCAACUGAGGCACUGUGCAGCACCAUCCCCAGUGGAUGCAGUCCUCUGGAGACUACAAGAAGUCCCAGGGGGGCAUCAGCAGCCGUGGCACAGCAUCCGCAGCACAGCGGAGUACCACUGCUCGCUCUCCAGCCCUAUUUCUGUGUUCCAUGCCAGUUGGCACUGCUGAUUCUGUGGUGCUCUGGAGUACCCUUAUCUCUCCAGGAGAGGCUUUCACCACAGCCCUUGAGCACUAGGAAAUGGAGAUACUCAACUGCUCUACAUCAAUCAGAGGGGGAGGCUGGGAAGGGGAACAGCGUGUCCCCGCCUGUCGCUCCAUGUAAGCUCUGCCCUUCACUGCUGACAGCAGAUUAAUUCCCAGCCAAAGCACAACACCCUCCUGAUGGAGAGGGGAAGCCUUCAAAAAGCAAAGCCUCCCACCCGUGAGUGCCCUGAAGUGGGGGGCGCAGCUAACAGGCAGCACAGGAGUCCCCAGGACGGAGAGUGCUUGGACAACACUGUCCAUUAGUACCUGGGUAUGGGUGGUGCUGCAAACAGAUUUUGCCAGGAAGCCAGUAGUGGCAUCCCCACAGUGCAGCAGGUCUGGGAAUUUGGGGCAUCUGGAGAUGGUCACAGUGCAACGACAACAUGGUUGCGUUAGGGACCACCCCUUUCCCCCCUAGCUCUGUGGCUGGAGGCUGCGAGUGGGCUCCCACCAGCUCCUGCACCCACAGGGAAGCUUUUCCCCAGGCUGCUCAGAUGAGAGCCCAGGGAAAGGGGGAACUGUCUGCCUGUGCCCUGGGCAAGCUGGGCUGCAAUUUCUCUCCUCCCGCAGCCCACGGCACCAGCUGCCCUCCCAGGGGCUGCUCUCCUCCUGGCAUGCUGUGAGUCACGUCUCUGAUGUCACCUCUCCACGUCACUGGAGCUUGGAAAUGGAUUUAAUGAGCCCGUGUUUUCUUCAGCUAAGAAAAACCUCAAAGAGGCUUAUGCUCGAGCACCCUGAGGAGCCAGCAGGGCUCUCUGCAGCUGCCACAGUCCCCACAGGAGGACAGAUAGCUGCACAGUGCUCCAAAGCAGGGCGGUCAGCACCAAAAGCAGAGCGCCAGACAUGCAGGGGACAACGCAUCACAGAGAUGGGAGGAUGUUUGUCCACAAUGCGCCCUUCCACAUUACCACCCUCCUCAUGGGACGUGGCAGGUGAUGCCCUGCAAUGCCUCAUGAUGCUCACGGGGAGGGGACAGCACAGUAGUGGCACCGUGCCCACACUCAGAGGACCCAGCAGCAUCUCUGAGGGCUGCCACACAAUAAGCUGAGGUGGUGGCCAUUGCUCCUCAUGUUCUCCCACUCCCAGACACAUGUGCUGGACCCAUCCCCACAAACAUCUAUCUUAGGCCGCCCAGCAGCUUUUUUAACACCAGUCACAUUGGGGAUGUGAAUCCUGAUUCACAGCAGUAUAGAUUGAAAUGUGAGCCUGUGGUGUUUUCAGAAGAACAAGUCCUUGUAAAGCAGAAGGGAACAAAAUUCAUUAUCAAAAUCAAGGGAAACGAGGAACAUUUGUUCUCUUUUAUGAAGGUCACUAAGAAAGGAAGCCCUACAUGGGGUCCCUGAAAAGCCAGUAGUGUAUGCAGUCAGCAGACAGAGGGCAUCUUCUAUUAAUGAAGGUGCCUCACCAAAAACACAGGCAUCAUAUAAAUUAUCAGAUAAUGAAAUUCCAGUUAAUUUGCUGCCUGGUCAGCUACAGCCCUCCUGCCAUGCUCCUGAGCCCAGCCAAUAACAUUAAGAAAGAAUUACCUUGCUACUAGGGCAGCUGGUGGAAAACCACAUCCCGAUUACUCGAUUCAGAAAACAAUAUCUUCUCCAGGACAAGAGGGGUGGAUGCUGCAGCCCCAUGGCCCUCCACACUGGGUUGACUACACAGGGACAUGUUCCCAACUGAUUCUUGCAGCCCUUUACCUUUUAGCAGCUUUGCUACCAGGAUCUCUUGAUGGGAUCCUUUUGCCCAGUUGCUCAUGGGCAUCCCACCUCACCCACAGCUCCCUGUUCUCUCCUGGGUUUGUGUCUCCUUACCAGAACCCAGAAGAGCAACCAGAGAACAAGGAGAUGGCAUCCACCCCCUUUGCUCAAGUAAGUUCUUGAUCCCAUGGGUAGAAAGAGACUUAAGAAGGGGAAGUUUGGGGGAACCUUCCCCUUCUAAAUAGGCUGUAGUGGUUGAAAGCAAAGACAAGGCUCAGGAAGAGGUCCUACAUCCUCAACAUGGAGUGGGUUUCAAGUACAAACUGCAUUAUAGCUCCUUCCAUUCUCCUUCUCCAUCUGCUGCUCCAAACUAUCAGAGCACCAAGAAUUCAGCAUGCGCCAUGUAAUUUUAAAGCCAUUAUGUAAGCUGCUCUCCCCUCCCCACCUCUCAAUGUCUCCAAUUGGUGUGUCAGAAUGUAAUUAGCUUUUGAUGGGAUGUUAAGAUUUCUUGAGCUCCCGUGGAGAGGUAGCAUGGGGAGAGGCGAGGCAGCGGAUUGUGAUUGUCACUCCCCACAUAAGUGCUCGAAGACCCUGGAAGACUCAUUUACAAAAAUGUAAAAUAAAUAAAUAAAUAAACCUAAAAGCAGCAGACCCAGUAGGCUUCAGCUUAAUUGACUGAAUUUGUGGGUUAUUUAUUUAUUUUUUUACCUCCGCUUGGUGAGAAAUGAGAAUUAACUCUCUCAUAGCCAACGAAGGAGCGCCAUGCUGUGGCAACGGUCAGGGCUCUAUUGCACAUCCCAGUUGGAGAGGCUGGAAGCACUGAGCUGUUGGUUCCUGCCCUUCCAAGCAGUGCCAGCUUUGCUGCUACAACCAACUGCACGAGGACUCCUCCACCAGAUUCAUUACUGAGUCCUCCAGCCCUGCACCACAAAAACACCAGCCCUCCUGCCAGGGCACCCAAGAAGCAGAAAGGUUUGGGCAUGGCCAAGUGUGCUCCCACAGCCCAAAGGUAACACUUGGAAUCCAGAUCCGUGAGUGUUUCGGGGCUAACAGACCCAACUUGAGGUGCUUGUAAUCUGCCAUGGUGCUUUUACAAAAACAAGCUCCUCUUGAUGUCUUGUUGCCAGCCUCCCAGUGCCCCAUACCACAGACCAGUGCUCUCAUGGUCAUACCACACACUCAGACCUUACUUCACACCCUUUCCCCAAUAGCCGACCCACUUGGAGGUACAGAACGAGGCAGGCAAAUCCCCCAGAACAAGUUUUCCACCAUCUGGCUGGGCCUGAACUUUCACAAGAGCAUCUGCCCCAGCCAACAAGCAUUUACGUGCCUACAGAUGGUGCUCAUAUCACCGAGCAGUAUGUUUGUCUACACAUUGACCCUGGCCCGAAGCCCACUGGAGUCAUCAGAUGCUUUUCAUUAACUCCAACAGGCUGUGGAUGGCAGUUUGGUCAGUCUCCACUGGUGCAGGCAGAGGCACUCAAACGAAUCCUGCAGGAUGCUCAAACGUGUGUGCCUCCAGGUCAGCCCAUAGCAGCUUUCCCAAACACAAGCCUGCCACAGACUCCUUCCAAAUGCACGUGGCUGGAUAUAAAUACGCCUCUGUCUCUGAAUUAGGUGAUGAUGUGAAACACAGGCACAUCCAAUACAAUAAUGAGCCAUUCCCAUCAAAUGCCAAUUCAACUGGAUAAUGGGCCAUAUUGAUUGCUUCGAGGACCAGACCAAUUUCACUUGUCCUUUUAAUGAUUAUUAUGACAUUAUCUAUAUUAUUUCUGCUCAGAAAGAUUAAUUCCCCAUUCCCCACCCCAAUCACUCUGGAUGCGAGGCCAUUCAAGUCUCCAUUCUGAACAGAAGCUGAGGAGACCUCUGCAAGGACUGGACUUAAUUCACUUCUGAAGUGUUAUCAGGCAAUUGGAGCUUUUUUCUCUAAUACUGCCACUGGCAUUAAUGGAAAGAAAACAAUAAAUGUAUCUGGUCACCAAGCAGUCAGCCUCCCCUUUCGUAGCUCUACUGACAUUUCUGUUUCCAGCCCAGACAGUAAUGCAUUCCAUUUUAAUUUUAGCAAACGCUUUCUUUAUGAUCAGAGACGUUAUUCAUUUGUACUUGUUUGCAUCUCCCUUAAAAUUCAGUAUUUCAUCCGGGGAUGCAGGGUUAUGGUCUACUUCUCAAAAUAAAGCACAUGUGGCACAAUGAUAUUUCAAA